This 397-nucleotide ribosomal RNA is filed under the name uncultured bacterium. RNAcentral's name for it is "partial 16S ribosomal RNA". It matches the Rfam family "Bacterial small subunit ribosomal RNA", at positions 523 to 918 of the family's 1533-position model. The record is from RNAcentral.
AUACGUAGGGAGCAAGCGUUGUCCGGAAUUACUGGGCGUAAAGGGCGCGUAGGCGGGUAUUUAAGUCAGGUGUGAAAACUCCGAGCUCAACUUGGAGAUUGCACUUGGAACUGGGUAUCUUGAGGGCAGGAGAGGAAAGUGGAAUUCCUAGUGUAGCGGUGAAAUGCGUAGAUAUUAGGAGGAACACCAGUGGCGAAGGCGACUUUCUGGACUGUACCUGACGCUGAGGCGCGAAAGCGUGGGUAGCGAACGGGAUUAGAUACCCCGGUAGUCCACGCUGUAAACGAUGAAUACUAGGUGUAGGAGGUAUCGACCCCUUCUGUGCCGCAGUUAACACAAUAAGUAUUCCGCCUGGGGAGUACGAUCGCAAGAUUGAAACUCAAAUGAAUUGACGGGG